UACGUAGGGGGCAAGCGUUGUCCGGAAUCAUUGGGCGUAAAGCGCGCGUAGGCGGCCCGGUAAGUCCGUUGUGAAAGUCAAAGGCUCAACCUUUGAACGCCGAUGGAUACUGCCGGGCUAGAGUCCGGAAGAGGCGAGUGGAAUUCCUGGUGUAGCGGUGGAAUGCGCAGAUAUCGGGAGGAACACCAAUAGCGAAGGCAGCUCGCUGGGACGGUACUGACGCUGAGGCGCGAAAGCGUGGGGAGCGAACAGG
RNAcentral lists this ribosomal RNA (253 nucleotides) under uncultured bacterium. Its description in RNAcentral is "partial 16S ribosomal RNA". It matches the Rfam family "Bacterial small subunit ribosomal RNA", at positions 524 to 776 of the family's 1533-position model. The record is from RNAcentral.